Molecule: transfer RNA, 98 nt
Filed under: Streptomyces netropsis
Lineage: Bacteria; Bacillati; Actinomycetota; Actinomycetes; Kitasatosporales; Streptomycetaceae
Description: tRNA-Ala
Source: RNAcentral
GGGGGGCCGUCGCCCGGCGGCCGGGGCGCUCGCGCGAGCCGUGCCGACGCGCCGUGCCCCUCCGCGCGGUGGCGGCGAUCGUGUCACCGGGCCCCACG